This 552-nucleotide long non-coding RNA is filed under the name Drosophila guanche. Lineage: Eukaryota; Metazoa; Arthropoda; Insecta; Diptera; Drosophilidae. The record is from RNAcentral.
CUUACUUGUAAUGGCUUAAGAAUUAUUGCAAACACUUCAUUUGAUUUCAUUUCAAUUGGCAUUGCAAUUUCAUUAAAUUUUGCGUUUGCCUUGGCAUUUCAAUUUAAUUGUAUGAUGCUGUACAUCACGUAUACGCAACGUUGCAGAACACUCCAUUCAAUUUUGUUUAUUUUGUUGAUUAAGUUUUUGUUUUAUUCUUUAUGGGUCUGGCUGCGUCUAAAAUUGUAGUAAGUCUUUUAUAUACUAACUAAUGUGUACAUGUAGUUAUUCUUUUGGCUUUCUUCGGUUAUAUAAUUAGUUGUGUGAUGAAUGCAGGGCCUCUGUCAACAAACCGCAGUACGAGUAUAGCUCGCCUAUUUACACAGUAUUUAUCAUAUAUUCUUUAGGUUUUAGUCUUGAGAAAUCAGAGCUUUAUAAUAGAUCCAAAGUUAUACGUACAUAUUUACAAUUUAUAGUUUAAAGAAACUCAUCGAAAUUUAAAAGAAACAAACAUUUUAAUUUUAAUUUAAAUAUGUCUCUUAUUCAAGAUUAAUUUUAAUAUAUUUAUGAAUG